GUCUACGACCAUACCACCCGUGAAACACCGGUUCUCGUCUGAUCACCGAAGUUAAGCCUGGUCGGGCGAAGUUAGUACUUGGAUGGGUGACCGCCUGGGAAUACUUCGUGUUGUAGACU
Molecule: ribosomal RNA, 119 nt
Filed under: Paramuricea clavata
Lineage: Eukaryota; Metazoa; Cnidaria; Anthozoa; Malacalcyonacea; Plexauridae
Source: RNAcentral